This 527-nucleotide ribosomal RNA is filed under the name uncultured fungus. RNAcentral describes it as "SSU rRNA". It matches the Rfam family "Eukaryotic small subunit ribosomal RNA", at positions 288 to 822 of the family's 1831-position model. Lineage: Eukaryota; Fungi. The record is from RNAcentral.
CGAUGCAUCAUUCAAAUAUCUGCCCUAUCAACUUUCGAUAGUAGGAUAGAGGCCUACCAUGGUUUCAACGGGUAACGGGGAAUAAGGGUUCGAUUCCGGAGAGGGAGCCUGAGAAACGGCUACCACAUCCAAGGAAGGCAGCAGGCGCGCAAAUUACCCAAUCCCGACACGGGGAGGUAGUGACAAUAAAUAACAAUAUAGGGCUCUUUUGGGUCUUAUAAUUGGAAUGAGUACAAUUUAAAUCUCUUAACGAGGAACAAUUGGAGGGCAAGUCUGGUGCCAGCAGCCGCGGUAAUUCCAGCUCCAAUAGCGUAUAUUAAAGUUGUUGCAGUUAAAAAGCUCGUAGUUGAACUUCGAACCUGGUUGGGUGGUCUGCCUUACGGUAUGUACUGCUCGGCCGGGUUCUACCUCUUGGUGAGCCAGCAUGCCCUUUACUGGGUGUGUUGGGGAACCAGGACUUUUACCUUGAGAAAAUUAGAGUGUUCAAAGCAGGCUUUGCCCGAAUACAUUAGCAUGGCAUAAUAAAA